UGGGUCUUUGCGGGCAAGGUGAGUCCUCAUUUCAUUCAACUGGCCUACAAAGUCCCAGU
Amphilophus citrinellus (Midas cichlid) is the source of this 59-nucleotide microRNA precursor. Ensembl annotates it as microRNA 193a-2. Its record names the gene mir193a-2. The record is from Ensembl. Lineage: Eukaryota; Metazoa; Chordata; Actinopteri; Cichliformes; Cichlidae.